Molecule: ribosomal RNA, 842 nt
Filed under: uncultured marine bacterium
Lineage: Bacteria
Description: bacterial SSU rRNA
Rfam family: Bacterial small subunit ribosomal RNA
Source: RNAcentral
UGGCUCAGAACGAACGCUAGCGGUAUGCUUAACACAUGCAAGUCGAACGAAUUUAUUCAGCAAUGUUUAAAUUAGUGGCAAACGGGUGAGUAAUGCAUAAGAAUCUGCCUCAUGGUAUGGGAUAACUUUAGGAAACUAGAGCUAAUACCGUAUAUUUAAUAAAGGUUUACUGCCAUGAGAUGAGCUUAUGUCAGAUUAGGUAGUUGGUAGGGUAAAGGCCUACCAAGCCUGUGAUCUGUAGCUGGUCUGAGAGGAUGAUCAGCCACAUUGGGACUGAGACACGGCCCAGACUCCUACGGGAGGCAGCAGUGGGGAAUAUUGGACAAUGGGGGAAACCCUGAUCCAGCAAUACCGCGUGAGUGAUGAAGGUCUUAGGAUUGUAAAGCUCUUUCACCUGUGAAGAUAAUGACGGUAACAGGAGAAGAAGCCCCGGCUAACUUCGUGCCAGCAGCCGCGGUAAUACGAGGGGGGCUAGUGUUGUUCGGAUUUAUUGGGCUUAAAGAGUUCGUAGGCGGUUAUUUAAGUAGAAUGUUAAAUACUCAAGCUUAACUUGAGACAUGCAUUCUAAACUGGUUAACUAGAGUUUGGUAGAGGAAAAUAGAACUUCUAGUGUAGAGGUGAAAUUCGUAGAUAUUAGAAGGAAUGCCAGAAGCGAAGGCGAUUUUCUGGGCCAUAACUGACGCUGUUGAACGAAAGCGUGGGUAGCGAACAGGAUUAGAUACCCUGGUAGUCCACGCCCUAAACGAUGAGUGCUAGACUUUUGGAAAUUUAGUUUUUGAGAGUCGAAGCGAAAGCAUUAAGCACUCCGCCUGGGAAGUACGAUCGCAAGAUUAAAACUCAAA